GACGAACGCUGGCGGCGUGCCUAAUACAUGCAAGUAGAACGCUGAAGAGAGGAGCUUGCUCUUCUUGGAUGAGUUGCGAACGGGUGAGUAACGCGUAGGUAACCUGCCUUGUAGCGGGGGAUAACUAUUGGAAACGAUAGCUAAUACCGCAUAACAAUGGAUGACACAUGUCAUUUAUUUGAAAGGGGCAAUUGCUCCACUACAAGAUGGACCUGCGUUGUAUUAGCUAGUAGGUGAGGUAAUGGCUCACCUAGGCGACGAUACAUAGCCGACCUGAGAGGGUGAUCGGCCAGACUGGGACUGAGACACGGCCCAGACUCCUACGGGAGGCAGCAGUAGGGAAUCUUCGGCAAUGGGGGCAACCCUGACCGAGCAACGCCGCGUGAGUGAAGAAGGUUUUCGGAUCGUAAAGCUCUGUUGUAAGUCAAGAACGGGUGUGAGAGUGGAAAGUUCACACUGUGACGGUAGCUUACCAGAAAGGGACGGCUAACUACGUG
RNAcentral lists this ribosomal RNA (497 nucleotides) under uncultured bacterium. Its description in RNAcentral is "partial 16S ribosomal RNA". It matches the Rfam family "Bacterial small subunit ribosomal RNA", at positions 28 to 507 of the family's 1533-position model. The record is from RNAcentral.